UCCGUAGGCGGUGCGGCAAGUCGGAAGUGAAAUCUCAGGGCUUAACCCUGAGGCUGCUUCCGAAACUGCCGUGCUCGAGUGCGAGAGAGGCGAGUGGAAUUGCAGGUGUAGCGGUGAAAUGCGUAGAUAUCUGCAGGAACAUCCGAGGCGAAAGCGGCUCGCUGGAUCGCAACUGACGCUGAGGGACGAAAGCUAGGGGAGCAAACAGGAUUAGAUACCCUGGUAGUCCUAGCCCUAAACGAUCAGGACUGGGCGUGGGCCUCGUACGGGGCUCGUGCCGCAGCUAACGCGUUAAGUCCUGCGCCUGGGGAGUACGGUUGCAAGGCUGAA
RNAcentral lists this ribosomal RNA (330 nucleotides) under uncultured bacterium. RNAcentral's name for it is "bacterial SSU rRNA". It matches the Rfam family "Bacterial small subunit ribosomal RNA", at positions 568 to 898 of the family's 1533-position model. The record is from RNAcentral.